GAUGAACGCUGGCGGCGUGCCUAAUACAUGCAAGUCGAGCGAACGGACGAGAAGCUUGCUUCUCUGAUGUUAGCGGCGGACGGGUGAGUAACACGUGGAUAACCUACCUAUAAGACUGGGAUAACUUCGGGAAACCGGAGCUAAUACCGGAUGAUAUUUUGAACCGCAUGGUUCAAAAGUGAAAGACGGUCUUGCUGUCACUUAUAGAUGGAUCCGCGCUGCAUUAGCUAGUUGGUAAGGUAACGGCUUACCAAGGCAACGAUGCAUAGCCGACCUGAGAGGGUGAUCGGCCACACUGGAACUGAGACACGGUCCAGACUCCUACGGGAGGCAGCAGUAGGGAAUCUUCCGCAAGGGGCGAAAGCCGGACGGAGCAACGCCGCGUGAGUGAUGAAGGUCUUCGGAUCGUAAAACUCUGUUAUUAGGGAAGAACAUAUGUGUAAGUAACUGGGCACAUCUUGACGGUACCUAAUCAGAAAGCCACGGCUAACUACGUG
RNAcentral lists this ribosomal RNA (497 nucleotides) under uncultured bacterium. Its description in RNAcentral is "partial 16S ribosomal RNA". It matches the Rfam family "Bacterial small subunit ribosomal RNA", at positions 28 to 507 of the family's 1533-position model. The record is from RNAcentral.